UGGGGAAUCUUGGACAAUGGGGGCAACCCUGAUCCAGCCAUGCCGCGUGAGUGAUGAAGGCCUUAGGGUCGUAAAGCUCUUUCGCCUGUGAAGAUAAUGACGGUAGCAGGUAAAGAAACCCCGGCUAACUCCGUGCCAGCAGCCGCGGUAAUACGGAGGGGGUUAGCGUUGUUCGGAAUUACUGGGCGUAAAGCGCACGUAGGCGGACCAGAAAGUUGGGGGUGAAAUCCCGGGGGCUCAACCCCGGAACUGCCUCCAAAACUAUUGGUCUAGAGUUCGAGAGAGGUGAGUGGAAUUCCAAGUGUAGAGGUGAAAUUCGUAGAUAUUGGGAAGAACACCAGUGGCGAAGGCGGCUACCUGGACCGAUACUGACGCUGAGGCGCGAAAGCGUGGGGAGCAAACAGGAUUAGAUACCCCUGGUAGUCCACGCCGUAAAACGAUGUCUGCUAGUCGUUGGGGAGCAUAGCUCUUCGGUGACGCAGCUAACGCAUUAAAGCAGACCGCCUGGGGGAGUACGGCCGCAAGGUUAAAACU
This 534-nucleotide ribosomal RNA is filed under the name uncultured bacterium. RNAcentral's name for it is "bacterial SSU rRNA". It matches the Rfam family "Bacterial small subunit ribosomal RNA", at positions 355 to 901 of the family's 1533-position model. The record is from RNAcentral.